This 1360-nucleotide long non-coding RNA is filed under the name Homo sapiens (human). RNAcentral describes it as "HSALNT0299915". Lineage: Eukaryota; Metazoa; Chordata; Mammalia; Primates; Hominidae. The record is from RNAcentral.
GUCGGUACUUGAAGAAGCGGAGCCAGGGCUGAGAUCCCGAAGGCGGGCGAGGUCUGGGAUGGGGCGGGGCCUAUGGGAGCGGGGCUGAAGCCCUGGGCCCGGCAGAGGAAGGUCGAGAUGGACCAUGUUGGGCCCCUUCUCUCCCCGCCCCCAGGCCGCAGUUCGGGGGCCACGCCCCGGCGUGCUCGGGUCACCGCGGGAAGCCCUUGAACCCCCUGGCGCCCGGCACCCACGUGCGGUAACCGCGGCUCCUCGAGAGCUCCAGGGAUGCGGAUCUACAGUAAGGGCUGUGGCCAGAUGAAUGAAUGCACAUUUUUUAGUGGGCAGAAAGAUGUUAGAAUUCAUGAAUUAGAAUAAGCACAAAGGAGGGCGAGAGGGGAGGCCGUGGAAGCCGCAUUCCUCCCCUUGCCUUGGGCGCCCACCCCCGAAGGGGCGCGUCCCCUCCCUGCUCCACUGCACGUGGGUGUUUAACCAGGGGAUAUCCAGUGCCUCAAGCACCACGACCCGGGAGAAAACUGAGUUGAGAAGGGUCCAUUCAAGAAUUGUGCCCACAAUAUACCAGGCACUUGUCCAGACCUGCAUCGUCCAAUGCCCACCUCGACCUCCCAAAGUGUUGGGAUUAGAGGCGUGAGCCACCGCGCCCUGCCUGCAUGUGGCUAUUGAGAUGUGCUGUAUGAUACACACCGGACUUUGAAGACUCAGUGUGAAAAAUAAAAAGAAUUUUAAGAGGGGUGGGGGUCGAGGGGAGGCAGAGCAGUAGGACAAAUAGCUAAUGCACGCAGGGCUUAAAACCUAGACAACAGGUUGAUGGGUGCAGCAAACCACCAUGACACAUGUUUAUCUAUAUAGCACCUACAUGUUCUGCACUUGUAUCCUGGAACUUAAAAUUAGAAAAAAAAAAUAAUAAAAGCCAACAUGGCAUUCAUUACUGCCAAAAAAAUUAAAACACAUUGUUAAUUUUGUAUAUUGAUUACAGGUUGAACUGAUAAUAUUUUGAAUAUAUUGGGUUAAAGAAAUACAUUUAAAAUUAGUGGCUAGGCACAGUGGCUCAUGCCUGUAACCCCAGCACUUUGGGAGGCUGAGGCGGGUGGAUCACCUGAGGUCUGGAGUUCGAGAUGAGCCUGGCCAACAUGGUGAAACCCCAUUUCUACUAAAAAUACAAAAAUCAGCCGGGUGUGGUGGUGAGUGCCUGUAAUCCCAACUACUUGGGAGGCUGAGGCAGGAGAAUCGUUUGAACCCGGGAGGUGUAGGUUACAGUGAGCCGAGAUUGUCCCACUGCACUCCAGCCUGGGUGACAGAGUGAGACUCCAUCUUAAUAAUAAUAAUAAAACUAUUUCUUGCUGUUUUACUUUUCUAAUGU